This 596-nucleotide ribosomal RNA is filed under the name Cutaneotrichosporon jirovecii. Its description in RNAcentral is "partial large subunit ribosomal RNA". It matches the Rfam family "Eukaryotic large subunit ribosomal RNA", at positions 62 to 648 of the family's 3401-position model. Lineage: Eukaryota; Fungi; Basidiomycota; Tremellomycetes; Trichosporonales; Trichosporonaceae. The record is from RNAcentral.
AAACUAACAAGGAUUCCUUUAGUAACGGCGAGUGAACCGGGAAAAGCUCAAAUUUGUAAUCUGGCUGUCUUCGAUAGUCCGAGUUGUAAUCUAUAGACGUGUUUUCCGUGCUGGAUCGUAUCUAAGUCCCUUGGAACAGGGUAUCAAAGAGGGUGACAAUCCCGUGCUUGAUACGACGACCAGUGCUCUGUGAUACACGUUCUACGAGUCGAGUUGUUUGGGAAUGCAGCUCAAAAUGGGUGGUAAAUUCCAUCUAAAGCUAAAUAUUGGCGAGAGACCGAUAGCGAACAAGUACCGUGAGGGAAAGAUGAAAAGCACUUUGGAAAGAGAGUUAAACAGUACGUGAAAUUGUUGAAAGGGAAACGAUUGAAGUCAGUCGUGUUCUUCAGAUUCAGCUGGUUCUUCCAGUCUACUUCUGUUGAACGGGUCAACAUCAGUUUUGUCCGGUGGAUAAAGGUAGUAGGAAUGUGACUCCCCCGGGAGUGUUAUAGCCUAUUAUUGCAUACACUGGGUGAGACUGAGGACUGCAGCUCGCCUUUUGGCCGGUCUUCGGACACGUUCGAGCUUAGGAUGUUGACAUAAUGGCUUUAAACGAC